RNAcentral lists this long non-coding RNA (572 nucleotides) under Trifolium pratense (red clover). Its description in RNAcentral is "long non-coding RNA (TPRA_LNC002427)". Lineage: Eukaryota; Viridiplantae; Streptophyta; Magnoliopsida; Fabales; Fabaceae. The record is from RNAcentral.
GCGGGCGUCGGCUUCUAAUGACAAGGUUUGUAAGGGAUUUAUGAUGAUAUGGCAUGCAACACUUUGGUCCCUUUUGAAGGCUCGGAAUAGCUCUAUAUUCGCGAAUGGAUCUUACGUCCCUAAGGAGAUGGUGGAAGAGAUUAAAGUGUUGAGCUGGAAAUGGAGUUUAUCUAGAUUAAAAGUGUCCUCUUGUAUGUUUUAUGAAUGGACUUGGGAUCCCGGAAAUUGCUUACGGCGCUAAUUCGAUAUGUUUUUUUUGGUGGUGUCUUUCUUUUGGUGUCUGUUUGCUUUAGUUUUUAUUUUUAGAGUUUGUUGUUGUUGCUGUUUUGGGCGUUAGUUGCCUGCUCUGUGGUGUUGUAUUGUUGCAGAGUGGAACAGGCCUGGCUUUGUAUUGAAUAGGGGAUUAUGUCUGUUAAUUUUUAUAGCUACUCUAGCUUUUCUUGUUCUAGAGGAAGCCUAAUAAUAUUUUGCUGAUUAAAAAAAAAAAUUAAUACUCCUUCUUGUGGUUUAAAUUAUGAGUCAUUUUGGAAAAAAAGUUGUAACCUAAAUUAUAAAUCAAUUUUAUAAUACCA